UACGUAGGGUGCGAGCGUUAAUCGGAAUUACUGGGCGUAAAGCGUGCGCAGGCGGUUUUGCAAGGCGGAUGUGAAAUCCCCGGGCUCAACCUGGGAAUGGCAUUGGAUACUGGCUCGCUAGAGUGCGGUAGAGGGUGGUGGAAUUCCCGGUGUAGCAGUGAAAUGCGUAGAGAUCGGGAGGAACAUCUGUGGCGAAGGCGGCCACCUGGACCAACACUGACACUGAGGCACGAAAGCGUGGGGAGCAAACAGG
Molecule: ribosomal RNA, 253 nt
Filed under: uncultured bacterium
Lineage: Bacteria
Description: partial 16S ribosomal RNA
Rfam family: Bacterial small subunit ribosomal RNA
Source: RNAcentral